This 428-nucleotide ribosomal RNA is filed under the name uncultured bacterium. Its description in RNAcentral is "bacterial SSU rRNA". It matches the Rfam family "Bacterial small subunit ribosomal RNA", at positions 29 to 507 of the family's 1533-position model. The record is from RNAcentral.
AACGAACGCUGGCGGCAGGCCUAACACAUGCAAGUCGAGCGCCCCGCAAGGGGAGCGGCGGACGGGUGAGUAACGCGUGGGAACGUACCCUUUGCUACGGAAUAGCCUCGGGAAACUGGGAGUAAUACCGUAUGUGCCCUUCGGGGGAAAGAUUUAUCGGCAAAGGAUCGGCCCGCGUUGGAUUAGGUAGUUGGUGGGGUAAUGGCCUACCAAGCCGACGAUCCAUAGCUGGUUUGAGAGGAUGAUCAGCCACACUGGGACUGAGACACGGCCCAGACUCCUACGGGAGGCAGCAGUGGGGAAUCUUAGACAAUGGGCGCAAGCCUGAUCUAGCCAUGCCGCGUGAGCGAUGAAGGCCUUAGGGUGUAAAGCUCUUUCAGUGGGAAGAUAAUGACUGUACCCACAGAGAAGCCCCGGCUAACUCCGUG